This 4371-nucleotide long non-coding RNA is filed under the name Mus caroli (Ryukyu mouse). RNAcentral's name for it is "predicted gene, 26807 (MGP_CAROLIEiJ_G0003847.1)". The record is from RNAcentral. Lineage: Eukaryota; Metazoa; Chordata; Mammalia; Rodentia; Muridae.
ACUGAAGUUCUUGGGAAGUUAUCCAAGUGGAGAGGUCCCAGGUUCUGAGCUUGUUCCUGCCUAAAAAAAAAAAAAAAAGGCAAGCAGAGAAGGCAAGAGGAUACAGCAAAUGCCAGCAGCCACAUGCAGCCUUACCUCCCAUGAGGAAGAGAAGCCCUGCCACAUACUGCAUAAGGCCUCGGUCCCAGCAACAGCCCAGGACGCCGAUGAUCCAGCCGAAGAGGAUGAUGGCCACUGCCAUGCCCAUGAAGCCAGCUGUCAUUCUACGCAGAUCUGUGAGGAAGCAGGAGGAAAACAGUUAGCAUGAGAACACGUGAUACAGUAGGGUCACAGGUACCCUAAGCUUGGGGUAGGGAGAAGAGGGUAGAGGCACUUCAAGGGCAGGAAGACUACCUAUUGAGACCCCUACACAGGAGAGAACCACUGGUGGUGAAUGUCUUCUGCACAAGUGUGUUGUGAUAGCUGGGUUCCUAAGCACAGGGCAAGCAGAUCAUCGCCUGUGUGUGACGGCUCACUCCAUCUGUGCUAGGCAUGUGCUGCUCUUCCUGUGAGUCUCUCCCAUUCUGAAGAGACGGGUGCUGUCUCUAGUGUGGACAAUAGAGCAACUUGCUAAAAGCAGCACGGUAAGUGGUAGAGAGGACUCAAACCCAGAUAGCUGUGGCUAACAGCAUUAGCCUUUUAGAGACAGGAGAGCAGUGAGGUGGGCUGCUGGAGAGAGCAGGGCUUCUGUAGACAGGCCGCCCUCCCUGCUUUAACCCAGGGUCUGCUGGACUGGUUCUCUGCUCCAUCCCAAGCAGGCUCUUGGAGCUUAGUUUUGCCAGCAACCUUGGAAGCAGAGAAGAGCUGCAUCCCCCUCCCUUCGUCUGAGCCCCUGGAGCAGGCCCCUUCCUCGCAGUUACCUCUAUCCUCUGACUCAAGGGUCUGCCCCAGCGUCACAGCGAGGACUGUACCUGCUCGAUACAUCUCUGACCUAUCUGACAAAGCCAGGAAUGACUUGGUGAGGAAGGAGGUUGCUGGAAAAAUGCUGUUUGCAGCAGAAGGGAGAUGGAAGGACUGUUCUGUAUCUCUGCUGGCUACUUAGCAUCUUGCCCAACUCAGCUUCUUUCCUGGCUCCUUCCCCUGUGUGGCCAGAUGUCACCAGAACUACUGUCACAUGCUCCCUCUCCAUGCGUGGCUCUGGCCUGGACUUGUUUCCAGAAUGUUUUCCUUCUCUCACGCCCUUCCCGUAGAACUGACUCUUUACUUCCUGGGGAGCACGUCACCCAUCAUGUUGGUCACUCCUUCUUGAAUCUGCCUGCCGCCCCUACCUUUAAGGCAGUACCCCAGCCCCAGCCUGCUAACAGGGUUCUAAGCAAGAGAAAACCAAACAAAACAAAAACCCCAAGACAACAACAAAAAAACAAACCAUUUUUCCUGGCCUCUGCCCCAGACUCUGAAUCCUCUGCGGCAUCAAAGAGCAUCCUAGAGGGUCUCAAGGACAUUUUUCCUCUCACAAAGGAAAGGUAAAAUGUCACGGACUCAGGUACCUCAUAUCCACUGCUGCCCCAUCCCUCUUCUUGUCCCAGAGGAACAAACGCAACAGUGUCCCUGUGGGCACGGAGAUCUGAGUCCGUCAUAAGGAGGCCACCCUUCCAUCCUUUCUGUCUCUUACAUUCUAUCCACUCCUACCCUGAGUCAUGAAACACGUAAAAGGGACCUCUGCCUCCAGCAGAGCACAGUUUGAGUCAAGAUCCCUCUCUUGCAGGGUCUGGUCUCUUUGUUCUGCACGGAAAAUCAGACACUGUUAUCCCAGUCAAGAGAAGCUGACUAGAGAGAGAGGCACAAACAUAAAGGGAAAACAAUCCUGGCCCUCCCAUCUGGGAAGGUGAAGCCAGCAGAAGCUGGACAGACAGUUCUCUAGUCCCAGACGCAGAGAUCCCUGAAGGGGCAACAGAGAAGAUACCUACCCUGCCUGGUUCUCUUUUGCUUUUCUGAGCACCUAGCAGGCCUGCCCCAGCCAGGUGGAAAUGACACUCUGUAUUCACUUCUGUAAGUUGCUAAGGAUGCCUCAUUAUCACACAGCAGUGUGCAGAUUGCUCAUACUGCCAAAUGAGUCAAGGGAAGCUUUGCUGAAAGAGCCAUUUGAUGGCAAUGUUCACGGGCAAGCUCAGCCUCCUGCAUGGCCAGUCAUAGCUAUGGCUGGAAUCCAUAGCCAUAGCUAAGGAUGGAAUAUCCCUGCCCAUGGGCUGCUCCAGUCCCUGUGGGUCAGCUCCUAUGGACUGAUAUUGCUUCUCCUUUCAUUCCCAUCUCUACAGUCACACUCGUGGCCACCAUGGGAUUCCUUCUUCCUUUACCAUAAGGGCCUGAUCAGACUUGUCAGUGGAGACAUGUGAGGCCAUGUCUAUUGAUUCUUAGGAACAGAUAAUAUGUGAUUAAUACUUUAACCAUUGCUUGCUUAAUGGAAAAAGAAAGAGCCCAGCUCUACUACUGGGAAGUUUAGUAUCUUAAACAGAAGGUACUAAGUUCAGCAUCCUCUCCUAGGUUUUUCCUUUUUCAUUCAGUGAAGGCUUCUGGGUCCUGCCCUUUUAACCCCAGUAAACUUACCUUUCCUGGAGGUCAAAUGCUCACUUGGUUUUAAUGCCCGGAAGUCCUACACUGGCCCCAGACUAUAGACCCUUGGGAGUAAAGCUAUUGCCUAAGGGGAUGAGUGGGUGGUCUCAUCAUGUGAGUCCACACUGGCCAGAGAUGGACCUGUGGGUUGAUGAGGCAGGACAUCUAAAGAGAAUGCCAACCAAAAGAAUAGGAGGUGACAUUUAUUGAAGGAUGAGAGCAAAGUGUUCUACUUAUAAGAAAAUGGGCAGGAUCAGAAAAGCAGACAAAUGGAGAAAAUAAUUGCUAUUCUAAAAGUUCCUGGCAGAUUCCAAUCAUCUGAGUCUCGGGUGUUGUGCGUAUGUGUUGAGGGGGAGGGCAGUUACCUUCUUUCUGUCUCAGCUUAGGCAAACUUCUGUGCCUCCCGCAGGGUAUUGUUGACUUAGAUAAAGGGUUGCUCUAGUUGUUGAUGUAGAAAUAGGAUGAAAAACAGAGGUCCUGACUGUGUUGCCAUUGACCUGGGAAAGAUUUUCACAUCACCCUUGAGUCUGGCUUUAUCCGUGUGAACAACCAGUUCUCAUCUCCUUAGAGAGUUAACCAAGUUAUCUGUGUGGUAGCUCAGGCAAGCUACUAUAAUAGGUCAGAAGGCAGGCAGAACAAGAAGUAUUCCAAUUUUACAGAUGAGAAAAAGGCAAAACCCAAAGACAAAUAAAUAAGUUAUCGAUGGUCUCAAAGCCAGCGGACUGCAAAUAGAGUUAACAGCUGCAUCAUUGAAUUGUGUGAGGAAACAGGAUAAAUAAAAGAAUUAAAAUUGAUGUGAGCAAAUGCGUUUGGCAUUCCUUCUUCUAAAAUCAAGCCAGAACUGUAGCUAAGAGAUGGGGAUCAAAGGAAAAAAGACAACAAGAAGGGUGGGGGCCUUGACACUGCUGGGGGGUGGAAGUGACUGGGCUGAAUCCAAAGGCAGUGUCAGAGAAUCCCUACUGCCUAGCCCACAUGAAGCCUUCGGUUCCAACUCAAGAGAGGAUGGGGAGGGAGUGGGGAGGGAAGAAGUAAGAAAAAGAAAAAGGGUAUAAAAAUAAAAAAUGGAUGGAUGAAAGAAGACAAUGUCUAGCUUUAAUUUACACACAAAAUCUGGCUCAUGGAGCACUUGGGAAUGUUUGAAUGUAGAGGCAUUAGAGUGUAAUAUGUCUGUUGUUUAACAGUCUUUCUAGCUUUCUAUUUGCAUUUGAGUUAGUGCCAUCUGUCACUCUGUGGUCAUAUGCACAUGGUGCCACAGCUCUUCUACCUGCCUGCCAUCUUUCUCUUUAGGAAUAAGAAACUACCACUCAAUUCCUGCAGUUUCCUUGAACCCACAGAAACAUCCUUUAAUUGGGAAAUUAAGCAGUUUGUAUUUCUCUGUCAUUUAAUGGAUUAAGAAAAAGGAAAAAGAAAAGAAAGUGAAAAGUAUCUCCCCUUUAGGAAGCUCUAAGUCACCUUUCCUGGCAGCUUUAGAAAACUUUUUGGUUGGCUAUGAUGUGAAAUCUGUGACAACAGUCUCUACUGUCACACAGAGAAGAGCCUUGGAUGAGAAAGUUUGGUUCUGUGGACAAUCAUGGGAGUGAAGAAUCUCAUGGACCAUGUUGGGUUUGAGUCUGUUAUCUGUGUUUCCUGACCCUCACAUUUAAUGUUCCAGUGUUUGAGAUUAGGAAGGUGCAUCCUAAACUCUUGAAUUUAGUCCAGCAUGAUGGGAAGAGGCGGGCAGAGGGAAGAGGGCUGCGAAGAAGGGUGGAGGAAGAAACACAAGGAGAACCAUAAAAUAAAGCU